GCUGACCCCAACUAGUUUGAGAUUAAAACUUUUUGUUGUUGUUUUGAAGUCUCAUGUAUUCCUUUUGAGUGCUUUGGUGAAUGUGAGCACAUCAAUGAUGUUUUAAGAAGUUGCAUUUUUAUUAUUCUCUUCAUUGUCCUUUUUGCAAAUAGAAUAUUGAAGUUAUUUUUAAAUGUCAUUUUAUUACCUUGGUGAUUGGGUUGUUUGAUGGCUCUACAAAUCGCGUGUUGUAGCCGCUAUGGGAAUAUGGCUUUUGUGGAUAGCUGAGCUGGCUAUUCCUUCUAUUUCUGAUGUCAGUACAUUAGCA
RNAcentral lists this unclassified non-coding RNA (307 nucleotides) under Hevea brasiliensis (rubber tree). Lineage: Eukaryota; Viridiplantae; Streptophyta; Magnoliopsida; Malpighiales; Euphorbiaceae. The record is from RNAcentral.